This 252-nucleotide unclassified non-coding RNA is filed under the name uncultured fungus. Its description in RNAcentral is "partial contains 5.8S ribosomal RNA, internal transcribed spacer 2, and large subunit ribosomal RNA". The stretch from base 1 to 52 matches the Rfam family "5.8S ribosomal RNA", at positions 103 to 154 of the family's 154-position model. Lineage: Eukaryota; Fungi. The record is from RNAcentral. RNAcentral also lists the same sequence under 1 other name.
AACGCAUAUUGCGCCCUUUGGUAUUCCGAAGGGCAUGCCUGUUCGAGCGUCAUUAUCACCUCUCAAGCCUGGCUUGCUGUUGGACUUCAGGUCAUGCUUUAGCUAAGACCGGUCCCAAAGAUAAUGACGGCGUCUGUGAGGACCCCAGUACAAUGAGCUUUUAUAGCACGUACUAGGCGGGAGUCCAGGCCCGGUCUUAUUUAUUUUAUCAAGGUUGACCUCGGAUCAGGUAGGAAUACCCGCUGAACUUAA